GCGGACUAGACUCACUCGCCGGGCUAUCAGCCACCUUCUCCGGAGGGUCAUUCUUCGACACUGCAGGGGCCACUGCCUCAGCCACGGACUCAGUCUCAGCCAUCUUGGGUUUAGCUGCAGGCUCAGCAGCUUUGGGGGCAUCGUCGGAUUUGGCAGCCGGUUCACUUAGAGCUACCGAUUCCGGGGCAGGUGUAGCUGCCGGCUCCU
Molecule: unclassified non-coding RNA, 207 nt
Filed under: Hevea brasiliensis (rubber tree)
Lineage: Eukaryota; Viridiplantae; Streptophyta; Magnoliopsida; Malpighiales; Euphorbiaceae
Source: RNAcentral